RNAcentral lists this long non-coding RNA (323 nucleotides) under Homo sapiens (human). Its description in RNAcentral is "HSALNT0318588". Lineage: Eukaryota; Metazoa; Chordata; Mammalia; Primates; Hominidae. The record is from RNAcentral.
UAGGUAUCUUGAAUUGCUUGGCUUUUUAUAAUUCCCUGAAAACGCUGGCUUGCUGAACUAUACCACUGCUUCAGGAAGAGUGUUGGUAAUUGGUGUUUCUCCGUUACUAUACCAUCCCACAAUGUGUUUGAGGGAAGCAAUUAUGGCUUGCUCAUAUCUGGAGACACUACAACACUUUAUGCAAUGCUUAAGCAUGCAGUCUUCAGGCUGUUGUCAUUUGAACUAGAACACAACCAUGAGCCCUCCUGGGUCUCCAGCCUGUUGGCCAACACAGCAGAUUUUGGACUUGCCAGUCUCCAUUAUCAUGUGAGUCGAUUUACAUA